This is a non-coding RNA of Potamilus streckersoni, 77 nucleotides long. The record is from the annotation of a GenBank genome assembly. NCBI's taxonomy places the organism in Eukaryota, Metazoa, Mollusca, Bivalvia, Unionida, Unionidae.
GACCACUCCGGUGGCCCAGUGGUUAGAGCGUCCGCCUCGGAUGCAAGAGGUUGCGGGUUCAAAAGCCGGCCAAGUCA